GCAAUCUAUAAAUAGUAGAACAAAAGGACAACUUCCUUGAAGCUUGCUGAAACUGCAUAAAAGGAUGUUUUGUUUAUUCUUGUUCGACGAGAAAACUGGACAUUUUAUGUAAAAUUUCCGUAAAUAAUGGAGAAAGGAACGUUGUUUAUUUUCGAUAAUGUGUUGGAGGUUGCGUUAUAACUUAACACAAUAAUAAAGGGGAGAACAGAAGUCAACCCUUUCUCCGUUUACUUAUGAUCUGCCAUCAUGAAUUAUGCUACUAUAAACAAGGCAACACACCUUGACUGAGUGUUACAGUCAAAGAUUAAUGAAGAUAAGGGAGAACACCAAACUCAUCUAGAUUGAUACUUGAUCUGCAGAAUUUACUCUUUCAACAGGAAAGCCAGUUUUAAAUGUAAAAAUGGCCCCAGGAGUGUUGGAAAAUACAACUUCGCCUUCAUAGCUGCAUAAUGACAACUGCUACAGUAAGUUGAACCAGGGACCAAAAAUACAGAAUGGAUUCAAUGUGACCACCAGCUUAAUAAAAUGUAAACUAAAAUUGCUGCUUUAAUUGGAUGUGCUCUUGUUCUCUCGUCCUCUCCCCAUGAGUGUUAACUGCUAAAACCUAAUGACCACUAUUUUGAAUUCCUGAUAUUCUGACCUGAAGAGAUCCUCUUCCACUUGUACACCUGUCCAUCAUGAAUGCCCAUCAGUAAAGACCAAUGCAACAUUAUCGUUAAAAUGUAAUUACAAUAAUAGUUUACAAUCAAAAUUGCUUGCGUGAGUGGACUAUGUUUUUGGUGCAUUUUAAGUGAAAUAUGAAUAAUGAAAUACCCUUCUCAUGUUGUGUACCUUCUGUUUGUACUGGAGUACCCUUGAAUUAAAUAUUUCAGAUGGAACACAAUGUGGGGAAAACAUAGGACAUCCACUACUGUAUAGAAAGGCAGAGUAAUUUUUCAGUGAUGAGAGAUUGAAACACUUUGAUGUUCAGAAAAACUUGGAAGUACUUGACAUGAACAGCCAAAGGGUAAUAUGUAAGUGCAGCUAAUAUUUAGAAAGACAAAUUAUAUAUUGGACCUUUUGCACAAUCCUUGUGUAGUGUGGGACUGUAUCUGGAGUGUUAAGUACAGGUCUCUUGUAAUGUAAGAAAAAUAUACUGUCAGUAGGAGUUGAUUUUUGAGUGGCAUGUUUGUUAUUGGAGAAGAUAUUAAGCAACUGGGCCUUUGCUUCCACAGCUUGGAACAAAAGGUGAUUAUAAUGAAAUGGAUUACUUUUGUGUGGAGUUUUAACAGUAUAGAUGAAGAUUUGAUCCUCCCAUUGUCUGUUCAGAGCUAGGUAUUGUAAUUUCAAAAUAAUUGGUUAACCAUUCAGAACAAAAAUGAGAAUCUUCAUCCAGAUGGUAGUGAUUUUGUUUUUUUUAAAUUAACUUGCCAAGAGGGCUGGGGUGGCUUAAUUGUUUUGUAUGUUUAAGACUAAAAUCAGUAGACUUUUAAAUAUUGAGGACCUAGAGAUGUAGAUUUAGUGCAGGAAAAUAGGACUUGGCUGAAAGAUCCACUGUGAUCUUAUCAGAAAGACAGUAGACAUUCAAGUUUGGUUUAUUGUCAUUCAACUAUAUACAUGUAUACCAUCAAAUGAAACAAUGUUCCUCUGCACUGAGCUGCACAACACAGUACAUUUGGUUCUUACACAAUGCAUGAAGUAAUAUAAUCACUAGAAAAUUAACAAUUAAUCAGAUGCACAUGACACAACUUUAAAGAGUAAACAAUAUAAUUGGUCCUUAAUGCGUGAUGAGACCUGGGGCUGGCAAGAAGUUCAGUAGCCUUACAACCUGGGGGAAAAUCUGUUUCCCAGACCAACAGUUCUUGACCUAAUGCUGUGGUACCUCCUGCCUGAUGGCAGGGGUCAAAGAUUGUGGGACAGAUGAUUUGUUUCAUUGACAAUGCAGCAUUCCUGAUGAAUAUCUCUGAUAGAUGGAAGAGACCCUGAUGAUUCUCUCAGCAUUCCUUUCAAUCCUUUGUAGGGACUUGUGGUCAGAUGUCUUACAAUUCCCAUAUCAGAUGACGAUGCAGCUGAUCAGGGCACUUGAUGGUAACAUCGACAUGAGGAGCCAUGUGGCCUGCGCCUGCUUUUAUUUCUAGCAUCCUUGUGUGUUAUCCACCAACUUAAACCAUGAUGGAAUAGUAUCACAUUGCAAUCUUGAUAAUUUAUCAUUUCUCAAAGCAAUGUGCUGUUUUGGUCUGAGUGUAUUUACGAACUUUGUACUAAUUUGAGGAUUUCCCUGCUUUAGUUCUGACCAUUAAAAUUUGGCUUGAGGCUUUCUAAACAUGAAACAGCAAGCAACUUGUCUGGAUUGAAUCAGUCCAUUAAUUUGAAGUGAAGGUACUACAUUAUAUCACUCUGCUUCUACUGAUUUGUAUGUGAAAUAUUUCCUGUUUGGAAGUGAAUUCCUUUGUGUAAGGUAAUUUUUUUCUCUGCUGUUUUGUUCAAGAUGCAAAAUAAUUUGUAAUAAAACAAAUCCUGAAAAAGACAGUUUCUGCUGGGAUCAGUUAAUCUGUUUUUGAUGUUAACUAGCUUAGAUAUUAUGCAUCAUUUGCCUUUUAUUCUCAAAUUUAAUUUUCAGAAUUGUGAUAAAUUUAAGGUAUAGGAAUUUUUUUUUAUUAAGCUGAACAAUAUUUCAAUAAACUACACAUUGCAUAUGGAAUUUUGCAGGUUGAUAGGAGUAGGCCUAAUAAAUGAUGUAAUUUAACUUCAUGAGGAAUGUAUUCUAAUCAUUGCUGGUUUUGUAUCCCUAGUUUUAUAAACGGAUCCUUGUAAUUAAAUGUGUAUGACCUGUAAAGACUUUAAAUUUGAAUGAUUGCACAAUAUUUCAAUGGAUCCUAUUUCCAACUAUAUUUAAUACAGGCCUUCCCUGGGUACAAAUGGGUUCCAUUUUUACAGACAUCCAAGUUGAUUUUACCCUUAAGCCAUAAAAUCUGCUAAUCACUUGAUUAUGGUAACAAUACCUCUGGAGUAUGUAAUGAACAGUGUCAAAAGCACAUAAGACUCUUAAAGAACAAUCAGUAACUGUGGAAAGAAGGGGGAAACCUAGUUCUUUCAUGGGAAUGAAUAUAUCUAUAUAAAAAUCUUUUGAAUAUAAUACAGGAGCUCAUUCAUAUGUAAAGGUGUCCAUAAGGCAGGCCUUUUUAGCUCAGGGGUGGCCUGUAGUUCUUAAGAUUUAGUUCACAACUUCAGGGAUCCCGUGGUGAUAUAGCAGCACAUAAUGGUUUGUGAGUUGUAUGGAGAUGCAGGCCAUAUUGUGCUGCCACAUGAACAUGGGAGCAUAAUCCAGCAAGUUCAUUAGAGUAUCGUCUUGAUCUCUUCAUAAACUAUCCGUUGACAUCAACUGUAACUUUCUGAUGUCAGUAAUGCCUUAGCAGCACGUAAAUAUUGGAGUUAAAUUCUUUGAAGGUCCCCAAUAUUAAUUGUGCUGCUGGAGCAAGGCUGACUACUUCAACUUGUGCCAGGCAUCCCAAAGGAAAUGUUCAUAUUCUCAUCCAAUAGGCAAGGUAAUAGUCAUUUUACUGAAUAACCACUCUCAAUAUCACUUAGUAAUCUUUUCAAGCUUAACUGUUGGUACAUCUGAGUAAGUCAUUUAGCUACACGAUUUCAAAUACAGUUCAUGAUGCUACCUUAAAGAGCACAAGGAAUUCUUAAUUUACUACCUUUCAAGACCUCCAUUCUGAAUUCCUUGCUUCCAGCCAUAUUUAAAGUACAGAAAUAUUUGAGUUACAUUAUAUCAUUGUUUUUCAACCUUUAAGUUUUUGUGUACAAAAUUUUGAAAUGCUAUUAUGUAAUGCUAUUUUCCAUGUAAAUAUGUACUAUAUAAAACAUUGUUUUAUGAAUUCUGUAUAGCAAAUGUAAAAUUUUUUGUUCAUAAAACCAGAUGCCUCCAGAAGCUCAUGACAUGCUUAGAUGGGAAUCCUGAAUGUGUGGGCUUAGGUAUUGUGGAUGUAUUAGAUUGGCAGUCUUGCACAAUAAUUCUGCCCUCAUUUUCACACCUGCAUAUUUUCAAAAACCUAAUGAAGAAAAACACAACCACCUUGCCAAGUUUUAUAAACCAUUAAAUAUGAUGUGGUUAGGUACUAUAAACUUUAAACAUCUGACUCCAUCUUAAGCAGGCAACUGAAAUUGCUGCAAUUUUGUACUUGAAAAGAGUUUGUUGUUGAGAACAAUGUUUUAAUGUUGAGAUACUUUUGAAUAUAAUGCUGGACAAUGUUAUUUAUAUUGUUAAAACUGCAUUUCACAAAAAUAGUCAAAUAUUUUACAUUUUUCAUAGGUUGUGUAUAUUUAAUGCCAUUAAAACACUUUAAAUACUUA
Hypanus sabinus (Atlantic stingray) is the source of this 4335-nucleotide long non-coding RNA. RefSeq lists it as uncharacterized. The record is from RefSeq and is a predicted model, not a curated record. The transcript is spliced from 4 exons. NCBI's taxonomy places the organism in Eukaryota, Metazoa, Chordata, Chondrichthyes, Myliobatiformes, Dasyatidae.